CGGAGAUAGCUGGUUCUCCCCGAAAUAGCUUUAGGGCUAGCCUCAUAUUAGAUACCCGGAGGUAAAGCACUGAAUGGCCUAGCGCCCGAGAGGGUAGCGAAGCCUAUCAAACUAAGAAUGCCGGAGUAUCGAUGUAUGGGAGUCAGACAGUGUGAGAUAAAUCUCAUUGUCAAAAGGGAAACAGCCCAGAUCUACAGCUAAGGUCCCAAAUUGUAUCUAAGUGGAAAACGAUGUGGAAAUACGCAGACAACCAGGAUGUUGGCUCAGAAGCAGCCACUCAUUUAAAGAGUGCGUAAUAGCUCACUGGUCGAGAGACCCUGCGCCGAAGAUUACCGGGGCUAAAGUACGAAACCGAAGCUGUGGCUACGACGUAAGUCGUGGGGUAGGGGAGCGUUCUGUGAGGGCUGAAGUCGUUCUGUAAGGAACGGUGGACUUCACAGAAGUGAGAAUGUUGGUAUGAGUAGCGAAAAGAAUGGUGAGAAUCCAUUCCACCGAAAGCAUAAGGAUUCCUGGGCAACGAUCGUCGUCCCAGGGUAAGUCGGGACCUAAUCCGAGGCAUGGAGCGUAGGAGAUGGACAACUGGCAGAUAUUCCAGUACCGGUAAUGAUUGUUUGAGCGAUGGAGUGACACAGGAGGGCAGGCAGGCAGGAGAUUGGUUGUUCCUGUACAAGCGUGUAGGGUGGAACGUAGGCAAAUCCGCGUUCUGAGAGCCUGAGGCGUGAUGUGGAGGUUCCGGAAACGGAACCGAAGCUGCUGACCCCACACUGUCGAGAAAAGCUUCUAGUUAGAGAAUUACCGCCCGUACCGUAAACCGACACAGGUAUGCGGGGAGAGAAUCCUAAGGUGCGCGGGAGAACCCUCGUUAAGGAACUCGGCAAAAUGUACCCGUAACUUCGGGAUAAGGGUAGCCGCUGUUGUGAAGUCUGCACAGACGGAGCAUGAGGCGGUCGCAGAGAAGAGGCCCAAGCGACUGUUUACCACAAACACAGGUGCCUGCUAAAGAGAAAUCUGACGUAUAGGUGCUGACACCUGCCCAGUGCCGGAAGGUUAAGGAAGGAUGUCCGGAGCAAUCCAAAGCAUUCGACCGAAGCCCCGGUGAACGGCGGCCGUAACUAUAACGGUCCUAAGGUAGCGAAAUUCCUUGUCGGGUAAG
This 1153-nucleotide ribosomal RNA is filed under the name human gut metagenome. RNAcentral's name for it is "bacterial LSU rRNA". It matches the Rfam family "Bacterial large subunit ribosomal RNA", at positions 840 to 1980 of the family's 2925-position model. The record is from RNAcentral.